ACUCCAUGAAGUCGGAAUCGCUAGUAAUCGUAGAUCAGAAUGCUACGGUGAAUACGUUCCCGGGCCUUGUACACACCGCCCGUCACACCAUGGGAGUGGGUUGCAAAAGAAGUAGGUAGCUUAACCUCCGGGAGGGCGCUUACCACUUUGUGAUUCAUGACUGGGGUGAAGUCGUAACAAGGUAACCGUAGGGGAACCUGCGGUUGGAUCACCUCCUUACCU
Molecule: ribosomal RNA, 222 nt
Filed under: Morganella morganii
Lineage: Bacteria; Pseudomonadati; Pseudomonadota; Gammaproteobacteria; Enterobacterales; Morganellaceae
Description: partial 16S ribosomal RNA
Rfam family: Bacterial small subunit ribosomal RNA
Source: RNAcentral